CCUACGGGAGGCAGCAGUGGGGAAUCUUGCGCAAUGGGCGAAAGCCUGACGCAGCAACGCCGCGUGCGGGAAGAAGGCUCUCGGGUUGUAAACCGCUUUCAGCAGGAACGAAAAUGACGGUACUUGCAGAAGAAGGUGCGGCCAACUACGUGCCAGCAGCCGCGGUGACACGUAGGCACCAAGCGUUGUCCGGAUUUAUUGGGCGUAAAGAGCUCGUAGGCGGUUCGGUAAGUCAGGUGUGAAAACUUUGGGCUCAACCCAAAGCCUGCAUCUGAUACUGCUGUGACUAGAGUUCGGUAGGGGAGCGGGGAAUUCCUAGUGUAGCGGUGAAAUGCGCAGAUAUUAGGAGGAACACCGGUGGCGAAGGCGCCGCUCUGGGCCGAAACUGACGCUGAGGAGCGAAAGCGUGGGUAGCAAACAGGAUUAGAUACCCUGGUAGUCCACGCCGUAAACGUUGGGCACUAGGUGUGGGUUUCAACCAACGAAAUCCGCGCCGUCGCUAACGCAUUAAGUGCCCCGCCUGGGGAGUACGGCCGCAAGGUUAAAACCUUAAAUGAAUUGACGG
Molecule: ribosomal RNA, 565 nt
Filed under: uncultured bacterium
Lineage: Bacteria
Description: bacterial SSU rRNA
Rfam family: Bacterial small subunit ribosomal RNA
Source: RNAcentral